RNAcentral lists this ribosomal RNA (404 nucleotides) under Fusobacteriota bacterium. Its description in RNAcentral is "Fusobacteria bacterium partial 16S ribosomal RNA". It matches the Rfam family "Bacterial small subunit ribosomal RNA", at positions 355 to 776 of the family's 1533-position model. The record is from RNAcentral. Lineage: Bacteria; Fusobacteriati; Fusobacteriota.
UGGGGAAUAUUGCACAAUGGAGGGAACUCUGAUGCAGCGACGCCGCGUGAGUGAUGAAGGAAUUCGUUUCGUAAAACUCUGUUCUAUGGGAAGAAAAGGACUGUACCAUAGGAGAAAGCUCCGGCUAAAUACGUGCCAGCAGCCGCGGUAAUACGUAUGGAGCGAGCGUUGUCCGGAAUUAUUGGGCGUAAAGGGUGCGCAGGCGGCUUUACAAGUUGGAUGUGAAAUAUUGUGGCUCAACCACAAACGUGCAUCCAAAACUGCAAAGCUUGAGUUAAGGAGAGGUAAGUGGAAUUCCUGGUGUAGCGGUGGAAUGCGUAGAUAUCGGGAGGAACACCAGUGGCGAAGGCGGUUCUCUGGACCUUUCCUGACGCUGAGAAGCGAAAGCGUGGGUAGCAAACAGG